GGCUGGGCUUGGAGAUCAGUGGUGCCCACCAAGCAGCUUUGGAGUGGCCUGGAGUACUUGGAGUGUGGCAGAACGGGCUCUAGUCCCACCCCUAAGCGGCUCUGAGGGCCAGAUCAGAGAAACCACAUCUCCUUCACCAGAUCUGAACCUAGGGGCUCAGCCCCCUCCAGUUCUGCCGAGACCCUGCAGUGUGGGGGCCCUGGAAGCAGAGAGGAGAGGGAGGAGCUUGGAGUGUGUCUUAAGGGUGGAAGUCUCUGGAGUGGAGUAUCGACAAGCUCAUGGGAGUGUGGGGAUGCAUGGGGGCGAGAGGAGGCUGAGUAGGUCCAUUGUUAAGAGUGUUUGCCUAAAAUGUAAGAACGAUGGGUUCAUCCCCCCCAGUACCCCAGAGACUGAGUGGGUUUGAGCACAGCCUAGGAUCCGUGAGGCAUGAGACAAGAAGUUCUAAAGGGACAGGUGGGAGCUCCGAGGAGGAAGAGGAUGGGCGAGGACACCCAGGGAAGCCCUGGUCCAGCCCAGAAUCCUAGACAGAAGUGUCCCAUGGGUAGCCAUGCACAUUCUCACCUCCUGGUGACAGAGGCAGAGCCUACAGAAAACCAAGCUAGUCCCCUGCUCAGGAGAUGGCUGUCCCUGGGUAGCUUCCCUGGGAUGCCUUGGGAGCCAGCUGGCCACGCUGUCCUUCGCACAGAGGAUUAAAUGGCACGUUCCCUGCUGCAUGCCUUGACAUUUAAGCCCGACUGCACCUAGCACACCGUGACCAACCCUGACUCCACUUCCCAGCUCUGAGAGG
Molecule: long non-coding RNA, 787 nt
Filed under: Rattus norvegicus (Norway rat)
Lineage: Eukaryota; Metazoa; Chordata; Mammalia; Rodentia; Muridae
Description: long non-coding RNA NONRATT007276
Source: RNAcentral